UACAGAGGGGUGCAAGCGUUUGUUCGGAAUUAUUUGGGCGUAAAAGCGCGUGUAGGCGGCUUUGCAAGUCGGGGUGUGAAAGCCCUCAGCUCAACUGAGGAAGUGCGCCCGAAAACUGCAGAGCUUGAGUGCCGGAGAGGGGUGGCGGAAUUCCCCCAAAGUAGAGGUGAAAAUUCGUAGAUAUGGGGGAGGGAACACCGGUG
RNAcentral lists this ribosomal RNA (203 nucleotides) under uncultured bacterium. Its description in RNAcentral is "partial 16S ribosomal RNA". It matches the Rfam family "Bacterial small subunit ribosomal RNA", at positions 524 to 714 of the family's 1533-position model. The record is from RNAcentral.